ACCGAAGAUACAUGCUUUAUGGAGAGGAACAUACGGAAGGUGUCCGACGCCAUUGAAUUGUAUAAGAAGGGACUAUCAGAGGCCAUCGGCAGACGAGAGGCUGAAUCGGGCUAUGAUAAGUGACAAUAUUUUAGACCCACAAGACGUGAACAAUUUCAAGAGGAAGAUGAAGAAAAGUGCAGAAGCUGCGAUAGAGGCAAUAAAAGCAGGCUCCAACUAUUGGAACGAUCAAAAAGCAGUAAGGGAUUUUCUCCUCGUCGAUUUGUUUACGGUGAAUGCACAGAGAACCUGUGUAGGUGCAACGGCCACACUAGAAGAGUAUGACGAGAGGAGGGUUGUCGAUGGAAAAAUCUUGAUAAAGGUCAAAGAACAUAAAACUGCGUGGAAAUGGGGCCCAGCGGAUGUUUUUUUCAGUAGGGAGGCUUAUCCCAUAUUGCAAUUUCAUGUCGAAAAAAUAAGAAGGGCAAGAGAGUCAUCAAAAGAUGCCAACCUCUUCGUGAGUGUUAAUGGAGGGGUAAUCAACGAUGUUGGGAACAUCAUAGACACUUGCUGGGGAACAUUAGGGUACAACGGGAGAUUCUUCCCACGCACUCUUAGAGAGACCGUCGCAACCAAGCCAGCAGAUUCAAAGCUGCAACGGACAUGAUCGUUCCAUUGCCCGGCCCAACUCGGUAACUAGCUCACACUGAACAAAGCGAAGACUGUCAAUCAUGUCGAUCAACUGAUGCACUUACAUAGCUCUUCGGUAACCAGAUGAGUUAGGAAUAUCAUGAUUUCCCAACUAAAGAAUUUCUAUCCAUCUUCGCCCCAUAAAGCCUGAACAAGAAGGAUUACAGUGAGCAAGAUGCGAGCUCAGGUAGUCCAGUCCCCGGAGCAGAUGAAAGCAGAGAAAUCGCGUAUGCAUUCCACCUUAGCCUUGCGUAAGGAGACUAAGAAGGAGAAGGGACACAGAGUGCAGGAGCUACGGGAUCAGAAUGAGAACUGCGAGCUGCUACUCCAUUCUAGUGAUCAAGGGGAUGCUAUGAUUACAGCUAUCAACACAGAGCUGGAAAAACAGAGAAUCUCUAUCCAUCUUCGCCCCUAUAAAAGCCUGAAUAAGAAGGAUACAGUGAGCAAGAUGCAAGCUCAGGUAGUCCAGUCCCCAGAGCGGAUGAAAGCUGACAUAUCGCGUAUGCAUUCCACCUUAGCCUCUCGUAAGGAGACUAGGAAGGAGAAGGGACACAGAGUGCAUGAGCUACGGGGUCAGAAUGAGAAUUGCCAGUUGCUUCUUCAGUCUAGUGAUCAAGGGGAUGCCAUGAUUACAGGUAUCAAUGCAGAGCUUGAAAAACAGAGGACAAGCGUAAGCUGUCAAGCCUGAACAAGGAAGAUACAGUGAGCGAGAUGCAAGCUCAGGUAGUCCAGUCCCAUGAGUGGAUGAAAGCUGACAUAUCACGUAUGCAUUCCACCUUAGCCUUGCAUAAGGAUACUAAGAAGGAGAAGGGACACAGAGUGCAGGAGCUACGGGGUCAGAAUGAGAACUGCCAGUUGCUGCUCCAGUCUAGUGAUCAAAGGGAUGCCAUGAUUACAGCUAUCAACAGAGAGUUGGAAAA
This is an RNA transcript of Lytechinus pictus (painted urchin), 1589 nucleotides long. RefSeq lists it as uncharacterized. The record is from RefSeq and is a predicted model, not a curated record. The transcript is spliced from 8 exons. Lineage: Eukaryota; Metazoa; Echinodermata; Echinoidea; Temnopleuroida; Toxopneustidae.